This 510-nucleotide ribosomal RNA is filed under the name uncultured bacterium. RNAcentral's name for it is "partial 16S ribosomal RNA". It matches the Rfam family "Bacterial small subunit ribosomal RNA", at positions 28 to 507 of the family's 1533-position model. The record is from RNAcentral.
GACGAACGCUGGCGGCGUGCUUAACACAUGCAAGUCGAACGAAGAGCGAUGGAAGCUUGCUUCUAUCACUCUUAGUGGCGAACGGGUGAGUAACGCGUAAUCAACCUGCCCUUCAGAGGGGGACAACAGUUGGAAACGACUGCUAAUACCGCAUACGAUCUAAUCUCGGCAUCGAGGAUAGAUGAAAGGUGGCCUCUACAUGUAAGCUAUCACUGAAGGAGGGGAUUGCGUCUGAUUAGCUAGUUGGAGGGGUAACGGCCCACCAAGGCGAUGAUCAGUGGCCGGUCUGAGAGGAUGAACGGCCACAUUGGGACUGAGACACGGCCCAGACUCCUACGGGAGGCAGCAGUGGGGAAUCUUCCGCAAUGGACGAAAGUCUGACGGAGCAACGCCGCGUGAGUGAUGACGGCCGUCGGGUUGUAAAGCUCUGUUAAUCGGGACGAAAGGCCUUCUUGCGAAUAGUGAGAAGGAUUGACGGUACCGGAAUAGAAAGCCACGGCUAACUACGUG